GCUUGAAGUGGCUUUCUAGAGUCAAGUACCUGAGGAAAGAUCUAAACUCAAAUUUACUCAAAUGCAGGUCUAGCAUUUGAUCUAUCGUGCUAUUUAGACAUCAAAUUUCUCAGAGAGAUUUUUUCCUCCAUUUUCCUCCUGGGAGUUGUUCAAUUUUCUCUGGGCAUGAUUGAUCAUUGACUACUCAAUCACAUCUGUACCUCCUUCUCACUAAACUUCUCUGCUUUCUGUUCUCCCCUUUUCCAAGGGACAAUGAAAAGGCUGAUUCUUGGCUAGGGGCCUGUGAUGAGGGCCAUUUACCACUGUGCCUAGGUACCCAAGCAAACAAAGGGCUAGGCUAGUCUUACAGAAUCUCGUAUCUAAGCAACAUUGGUGCUAAGCAACCAUGGCACUUUAGCAUCAUGGAACCCUCCAGGCAGGGAGGGCCCUGGAUCUGGUCUAGAGAACAAGGUGAGAAGGAAACUAGAUGAGAGAGACUAUUGUUAGGUUUGACCCUUUGGAAAGCACCAUUUCUCCUGUCUUCCAGCUAAGGAAACAAAUUAUAACAAUAAAGCAGAGAUUCCUGAGAGUAACCUGGAAAAGCUGGAAAUUUAUAAAGCUGCCAUUUUAGUCAUGUUCUUUGUUUUACCAAAUGUUCAUAUUUCCAAAUGUGGCAAAAAUGUCCCCUCAGAAGAUUUUCUCAGCAUCAUCCUUCCGAAAGUUGUAAAUUCUUCUCCUUUUGCCUUCAAAUCUGUUCACAGAGAGCUAGGAGAAGGAUCACCGGGGACAGUUAAGAAUGAGAAAAUUAUACAGAGAAAUGGGGUAUCAGGGAUGAUGGGAGAGAGAAGGAGGGGACAUUUCUAAAUAAUUUUAAAUAUCUAGAUUAGGGUUAACAGGACUAUGUAGGAAUGAAUAAUGAUACGUAUGUAUUAGUAUUAUAAUGUCUUCCAAAACUAUCAAAUAUCCAUCUUCCCUCUUGUCUUUAUUUCCAGAAUCCUCCUCCAAGAGAGGACUGGGGAUUGUCCAUCAUCAGUGGCCUUAUGGGUCAAAGAUCCUUGUGCUCUGCUACAUCUUGGCAAACCCAGCCAGAUAUGGAAAACACUGGAAAAUAAGCCUCACUGCAGUGCCAGAUGAAACUAUUCCAAACACCCUAAACCUCUUUGGGCCCCACAUUUCUACAGGAUCAAUUGCAAUUCUUGGCUUUACUUCAUCAUUCUGCUGA
This 1201-nucleotide long non-coding RNA is filed under the name Monodelphis domestica (gray short-tailed opossum). Its description in RNAcentral is "lncRNA (ENSMODG00000038394.1)". The record is from RNAcentral. Lineage: Eukaryota; Metazoa; Chordata; Mammalia; Didelphimorphia; Didelphidae.